This 228-nucleotide ribosomal RNA is filed under the name uncultured bacterium. Its description in RNAcentral is "partial 16S ribosomal RNA". It matches the Rfam family "Bacterial small subunit ribosomal RNA", at positions 103 to 334 of the family's 1533-position model. The record is from RNAcentral.
CGGGUGAGUAAUGUAUGGGGAUCUGCCUGAUGGAGGGGGGUAACUACUGGAAACGGUAGCUAAUACCGCAUAACGUCGCAAGACCAAAGAGGGGGACCUUCGGGCCUCUUGCCAUCGGAUGUGCCCAGAUGGGAUUAGCUAGUAGGUGGGGUAACGGCUCACCUAGGCGACGAUCCCUAGCUGGUCUGAGAGGAUGACCAGCCACACUGGAACUGAGACACGGUCCAG